AAAAACCACUUUGGGACUAUAGUGGACCCCAGACAGCUGGACCCCAGACAGCAGCACACACCUAUUCCCAAGAAGCAGGAGCUGUCAAGGAAAAUCAAAGAAAUGGAGACCUGGGGAGAAGAGGCUGUCCUGGGGCCCUGAAGUGGAGACGGCAGUUCCACAGAAAAGUCCUCCAUGACUUCUCUUCAAGACUUCAAGCCAGGUGGACAAGAGACUAAAGAGGAUACACAGAGAAUCAGGACAACUGAUGCCCACUGGGGAAUGGGACAGAAAGGCUGGGAUGGAAGAGGUGGUUGAAGGAACAAUAGCACAUAAAGAGGAUCCCACCUCUGGGCUCCAGGAGCAAGCAAUUGAUUGCACGCAGCAUGCAGCACCAGCUAACCUUCAAAUUCAUGUCUUUGGCUCUAUCUCUACUACACUCAGUUAUCACAUCAAUCAAAGCAAGUAAAAAUAUAAGUAAAAACAGGUAGCUCACUACACGGAUCAUGGAUAUUGUAUAAAUUAUACCACAAUGCUUGUCUUAAAGAUAUUUCCUAGGCAGAAAAAGAGAAGUUACAAGAAGAAUGGAAGAUGAGGGUGUCACAAUUUGGGGAGUGGGAGACAGGGUUGUGAUGUUUCAAAAAGAAAGGCAUUUAGUAGCAAUAUAAAUUUGCUGAUGAGUGAAUGGGUGCAUGGGUGGAUGUAAUUUCACAUGUAAUGGAUGUAGGUGCAUAGACAUGUCAUUUCACAAUGUCAAAUUCAAUAUCAUUGAGAGGAUUUAUGGUGCUUCUAAAGCAUGUUUUCUGUGUGGUUUUUAAGUAAUGCAAGCAGAUAGUACAAAAUUUAAGUAGUACAAAUAAUAAAAAUAAAGGUCUCACACAACAAAACAAAACCAAAAAACCCAGUAAACAAAACUGUUGAGAGGAUUGAGAAUGUGGUAAACUCAGUGCUAUUAAAGGCUCCAAGCUCAUUGGUUUUUAGAUCAUGAGAAUUAAUAACCCUUCUGGACCUCUGCUCUUUAAUCUACAAGUGGAAGACUGCACUGAGCUAUAGCAGGACUUUUAAGA
Bubalus bubalis (water buffalo) is the source of this 1046-nucleotide long non-coding RNA. RefSeq lists it as uncharacterized. The transcript is spliced from 3 exons. Lineage: Eukaryota; Metazoa; Chordata; Mammalia; Artiodactyla; Bovidae. The record is from RefSeq and is a predicted model, not a curated record.